Molecule: RNA transcript, 3901 nt
Organism: Cygnus olor (mute swan)
Lineage: Eukaryota; Metazoa; Chordata; Aves; Anseriformes; Anatidae
Gene: TMEM255B
Gene name: transmembrane protein 255B
Exons: 10
Source: RefSeq, a predicted model, not a curated record
CCUCCGCGGGCAGCGGCGGCGGGAGCGGAGCGGCGGCGCCCGCCGGGGCUGGAUGAUGGCGCCGCCGGGCGCCCCGGCCGUGCCGGGCCCUCUGGCCCUGCUGGACCCCACAGGGCAGUUUGCAAAAAGGAAGAAGACUUCACUUUGGUUCACAGUCUCUCUGCUGGUGGUGUCUAUUUUCAUACUGACCAUAGGGCUGGCAGCUACAACGAGAACAGAAAAUGUUACCGUGGGAGGCUACUACCCAGGCAUCAUUCUUGGCUUUGGAUCUUUCCUAGGGAUUGUUGGCAUCCACCUGGUAGAGAACAGAAGACAAAUGCUGGUAGCCUCCAUCGUAUUUAUCAGCUUUGGCGUGGUAGCAGCAUUCUGUUGUGCAAUAGUUGAUGGAGUGUUUGCAGCACGACACAUAGAACCCAGACCUUUGUAUAACAGAAGGUGCCAGUUUUAUUCAAGCGGAGUAGGAUUCCUGUAUGAUGCCUACCAGACAGAGGUGACGUGUUAUACCUUAAACAACAAGUGCCAGCUGAAAGUAAAGAGUAACACAUGCUAUUGCUGUGACCUCUACAACUGUGAGAACUCAGAGCAGUCCUCCAGCUACUACGAAUUUCUCGGUGUGAGCAGCUGCCAGGACGUGGUUCACCUGUACAGGCUGCUGUGGUCCUCCACAGUCCUGAACAUCAUCGGGUUGUUCCUGGGGAUCAUCACGGCAGCCAUUCUCGGGGCCUUUAAAGACAUGGUACCUAUGUCCCAAAUUGCUUUCAGUGCUGCACCUCCUCCUCAGAUCCUGUACAAUCCUGCCCAGCAGAUCCUGACGUAUGCUGGGUUUUGUCCUUCUGCUGCAACUAUUUCUACGUAUCCAUCCUAUCCGUUGCCUCUUCAGCUGAAAAGCUGUGCUGUUCUGCAGAGUUCAGUUAGCAUGUAGCCAAGAAUAGAGAAGGGGAUAAACAGAGACGAACGAAAGCAAUGAGGCUGAAAAGAUGCAUGUAAGUAGUCUUGAGGAUCAAUUGUAAUUGUUCAGUCCUGUGUCCACUGAGAAAGAGAAAUAUUUACCCCUAAAUUCUUAACUGCAUUCCAAAAUAAACACUUUUUUUCCCCCUAGAUUUCUACUUUUUCUAAGAAGCGCGUUCCUUUGUCUUCUCUCCCCUUCAUAACACUCAGGGGCAGACAUCACCAGCUGUCCUCAAGCCAGGAGAGGUUAGCAAGAAGCACUGGGCUCCAAAAGGGAAAGCACUUAAUCCUUUUCUUGGAAAAGAAAAAAAAAAAGUCAAGCAGCUUUACUACAUGUAUGAGCUGAUUACAUUGUAGUUUAGAGAGAAUCAAUUUCUGCAUCAGCAUUCAGCAUAAUGGAACAGUUAUGAGUUAAAAAUCGUAAUAAACUUACUCAAAGUUACAAAAGGGUGAAUGUGAGAAGCAGGCCUGAUUUGGAACAGCCAGAUGCUCAAAUAACAUGCACAUCCAUUGAGAGCUGUAGGCUGAACCCAUAGGGCUGGAGGCCUUCAUAACCCAUCUAAGUGCUCCAAGCAGCUAGUGGCCUGGUGCCUAGCUGCUGAAUUCAAGCUUUCACAAGCCCUGCUCAGCUGGUUCUGGUCCUUAAGGCAACUACAGGCUUUGUGGCUGGGAUUCAGCUGGCUAAACACAGGGCUGUUGACAUGUAGGGAUCUAGUGCUGUGUGAUAAUGAAAUCAAGUAGCCACCUGGCCCCUGAUGCUGCUGUAGGAGGGUCCAGGUCCUGUAGUCGCUGUACCACCUCUGUGUAGACAUCUGGCAUGCCCCAUGACAUCCCAAAAGGGCUAGACACUCAUAUGUGGACAGCUGAAUUAAGAUCUAGAUGUCUACAGUGUAAAAGACUUCACCCGAGUGGGUCGAUCCUUCAGAGUCCACAGAGAGGGCAAGGCACUUCUCAUAUGUGGAUUAUCACAGGUGAAAGAUACAUGAAGUGAAUGGUAUGAAUGCACCCUAAAGUCCUUUCCACUGACCAGGGGUGGGAAUCAGUUUCUAUGCUGUGCACUUAGAUGUCUAUGUCAUUGAGCCCUCAAUUGUCUAAAGAUACAGCAUCUGAGAUGACCUAAUAUUUGCAAGACAUCCAUGAAAGGCUGGCUGUUGGCCAAAGGUCUAUGUGAGACUCGCAUGUACUUCUGGAACAGCACCCAGAGGUCUGAUAGGGUGCCCAUGGGCAUCUCAAAGCAUAACGUUUUUGAUUCCAGGUGGAUCAGAAGCCUGGCUGGGUACCCAGAGGGUGACAGAGCUCACAGGGGCACUCUCAGGGCAGCUCUCCUAUGCAGGCCCCACACAGUUUGAGGUGACACUGAGUGUGCUGAUGGCCAGCCCCAGCAGGAGCUCAUCCCUGCAUCCUGUCCACGUGUGAAGCCCAGCUGGAGGCCAGCAUCUCACCCUCAGGCCUCAUUCCUUUUCCAGUGACCUUGCUAACUGUACAGCGAGGCGGGCUCCAUGACACACCUCUCUUUUCAGCAUUCCCUUUGGCUCCCUGCUUUGGCUAAACAUCAUUCCUAAGCACCUGCAUUUCACACUGACCUGCACCUGCCCCAGUCAGGGUCACACGUGGUGGCUCAGCUCAACUAAGACUAAGGUUUGUUCUUAGUCUUCUGCUGAAUUCAGUAUCUCACUGAAUAACUGCUUGCUGGACAGGCAAACAAAGUCUUAAAAAAAAUAAAAUCACACCUUGAGCUGGUGCCAAACCAGCUUAGUUUACCUCACAGUUUGUCCGCAAGCAGAAAUCAGCCAAAUACAAAAACAGAGGUGACACCAGGAAUGCAUUUUGACGAAGUUGUAACCAGCAUUUCAUUUGUUUACCAUGGCAUGUGGUAACAAAAUCACUCAUCCCUUACUGGUACAGGUCAGUCACAGCCAGUCUUGGUAGGAGGCCUGCCAACUGGUCAGGUAAAUGAUGAGCUGUGCAGGGGCUGCUGGGGUUGUGAAAACAAAACAAAACAAAACAAAAAAUGAACUGUAAAAAGCAAUAACUACAUUUGGAGCUGAUCUAGCCAGCAGGUCUAUAGGUAUACUUGCACUGCCUCCUGCAUAGUUAUGGUGCAUAAACGACCUUCCUGUCACAAAGUUCCCUUUCUUCAAAGUUCCCCCCGUGGCAAGGGGCCUGGCAGCCCUGGGCAGCUCUGAGAUGCCACCAGCCAAGUAUCAGCCCUGGUACUGGCUUUGUAAAUGAUGACUACUCAUUUUUUUAGCAUGGCAUUUUAGGCCUGAACUUGAAGGGAGCUGAGCCCAACUCUUCUGGUGGAGCCCAUGGACUGGCAUGUGUUGGCAUGUGAGGGGAGGAGUGAAAUCCUGACCCUCUUGAAAUCAAUGGCAAAACUUGAUUUAAAGUAGUGGUAGGAUUUUAUCCAGAACAAUAGUCCCUAGAUGCAUCCUUUUGUUUUAAUAAAUCCUAGUUGUUACUCAGCAUGGGCUGCUUAUUUUUCAUGCCUCUUUCAGCCAAAUCCUCCUUGUAACUGAGACAGCCGAGGUGAAAGACCUACAGGGAGGUCUUUUAAAGAAUGCCUACCUGUAAAUUUUCUCUUAUAAGGAGUCUGCAUUUGGCACAGCAAUAAGACCCUGCCUUUAUGCAAGUAUUACAACUCUGAGAUUUCAGAGCGAUGCCUAGAAACUUGCAGCUAUAUGUAACUUAAUCAGCCAGUUGGGUGCCAUGCCUUACCCGGGAAACCAAAGCAUCUUCUGCAGAAAUUCCUGUUCUGUUGUCUAGCUGUAUGCACAGUAUCUAUUAAAAAUGACUUGGAUUACAGGUGGAAUCUGUCUUCUUUCACCAUACGCUGUAAUUGCUAUCCUUAAAAAGAUUCUCUAAUACUGAAGUGAGUGUUGUGCUGCAAUGCAUGAGAAAUUUAACCAUGGGACAUAAUACUGACAUGGUAAACAUUUAAAUCAGAGCCACA